AAUGAACGUUGGCGGCGUGGAUUAGGCAUGCAAGUCGAGCGGACGAGGGACUUCGGUCCUGAGUGAGCGGCGAAAGGGAGAGCAAUAUAUGGAUUAUCUGCCCUCAGGAUCGGGAUAGCUACGGGAAACUGUAGGUAAUACCGAAUAAUAUCUCCGGAUCAAAGGUGAGAUUCCGCCUGAGGAUGAGUUCAUAUCCUAUUAGCUUGUUGGUGGGGUAAUGGCCUACCAAGGCUAAGAUGGGUACCGGGCGUGAGAGCGUGACCCGGCUCACUGGGACUGAGACACUGCCCAGACACCUACGGGUGGCUGCAGUCGAGAAUCUUCGGCAAUGGACGAAAGUCUGACCGAGCGACGCCGCGUGUGUGACGAAGGCCAUUUGCGUUGUAAAGCACUAUCGUUUGGGAGGAAGUGUACGGGGGCUAUCCCCUGUACUUGACCUAUCUUAGGAAGAAGGACGGGCUAAGUUCGUGCCAGCAGCCGCGGUAAUAC
RNAcentral lists this ribosomal RNA (489 nucleotides) under uncultured bacterium. Its description in RNAcentral is "bacterial SSU rRNA". It matches the Rfam family "Bacterial small subunit ribosomal RNA", at positions 29 to 526 of the family's 1533-position model. The record is from RNAcentral.